ACAUUUGCUUGUAGAGUGUAACUAAAAUACACUGUUUAUUAUUCAAUAAUCUGGUUUAGUAGGUUACGUUUUUCUAUCAGUGUGUCAUUCCAGAAACAUACAAAGGCACCUCAACUGCGACGGAAAAGAGUAGACGUGUCCUGUCCCUAAAGUUAGAUAUGGAAGAUGGCUUCGCUCGAAAAAAAUGGGAUUUCUACUGGUGUGGGAGUUUAAACUAUGAGGAGUACAGACUACACCGGAAGCACCGAAGGACGAGGC
This is a long non-coding RNA of Coregonus clupeaformis (lake whitefish), 258 nucleotides long. RefSeq lists it as uncharacterized. The transcript has 3 exons. The record is from RefSeq and is a predicted model, not a curated record. NCBI's taxonomy places the organism in Eukaryota, Metazoa, Chordata, Actinopteri, Salmoniformes, Salmonidae.